RNAcentral lists this non-coding RNA (786 nucleotides) under Pyrausta despicata. Lineage: Eukaryota; Metazoa; Arthropoda; Insecta; Lepidoptera; Crambidae. The record is from RNAcentral.
AAAAAAAUUUUUUAUAGUUUGAAAAUUUAUUAUAAAUUUAUUUUACAUAUAAAUUUUAGUGUUAAUUUUUAUUUAUUUUAAUAAUAAAUAAUUUUUUAAAAGUAGUAAUUAAUAUUAAAAAUUUAAGAGAUUAAGAUUUAGUAAUAUAAAAAUUAAUAACAAAUUUUGUGCCAGCAGUUGCGGUUAAACAAAAGUUAAAUUAAAUUUUAUUAGUGAUUAAUAUAUAAAUUAAUAAAAAUUAAUUAAAUAUAAGAUUAUUAGGUGAAAUUUUUAUUUUAUUUAAAUUAAUAAAGAUUUAUUUAUUAUUUAAUAAAUUUAAUAAAUAAACUAGGAUUAGAUACCCUAUUAUAUAAAAAUUUAAAUUAAUAAUACUAAAAUAGUAAGUGAUUAUUUAUUGAAACUUAAAUAAUUUGGCGGUAUUUUAGUUCAUUUAGAGGAAUCUGUUUAUUAAUUGAUAAUCCACGAAUAAAUUUACUUAAUUUAUUAUUUUGUAUAUCGUUGUUAAAAAAAUAUUUUCAAAUAAAUAAUAAUAUUUAGAAAUUUUUAUAAUAAAAUUAAAUCAGAUCAAGAUGCAGAUUAUAAUUAAGAAUAUAAUGGAUUACAAUAAAUUUAUUUAAAUGGAUAUUAAUUUUUAAUAGUUAAUUAAAAGUGGAUUUAAAUGUAAUUUUAUUUAAUUUAAUAAAGUGAUUUAAAAUUGAAAUAUGUACAUAUUGCCCGUCGCUUUCAUAAAUAAGUUGAAAUAAGUCGUAACAAAGUAGAGAUACUGGAAAGUGUUUCUGGAAAUAA